GGAAUUUUGCGCAAUGAGCGAAAGCCUGACCCAGCAACGCCGCGUGAAGGAUGAAAUCCCUCGGGAUGUAAACUUCGCAAGAACGGGAAGAAUAAGUCGGUGUUAACACCACCGGCGAUGACGGUACUGUGUGUAAGCUCCGGCUAACUCCGUGCCAGCAGCCGCGGUAAGACGGGGGGAGCAAGCGUUGUUCGGAUUUACUGGGCGGCAAGGGCGCGUCGGCGGCCACCGCAAGUCGACUGUGAAAUCUCCGGGCUUAACUCGGAAAGGUCAGCCGAUACUGCGGGGCUAGAGUGCAGAAGGGGCAACUGGAAUUCUCGGUGUAGCGGUGAAAUGCGUAGAUAUCGAGAGGAACACCUGUGGCGAAGGCGGGUUGCUGGGCUGACACUGACGCUGAGGCGCGAAAGCUAGGGGAGCGA
This 419-nucleotide ribosomal RNA is filed under the name uncultured bacterium. Its description in RNAcentral is "bacterial SSU rRNA". It matches the Rfam family "Bacterial small subunit ribosomal RNA", at positions 358 to 771 of the family's 1533-position model. The record is from RNAcentral.